Molecule: ribosomal RNA, 285 nt
Filed under: Triticum aestivum (bread wheat)
Lineage: Eukaryota; Viridiplantae; Streptophyta; Magnoliopsida; Poales; Poaceae
Description: partial small subunit ribosomal RNA
Source: RNAcentral
AUGGAUGAGCAGUCCAUGUGUAGCGCCUGCGCCAUCCGCUGUGAGUGGUGGCGGCUGCACGUCAUGGAGGCUGUGAGUGGUGGCGGCUGCACGUCAUGGAGGCAGAGCGUGACCCCCUGUUCGAGGAGCUUGCAGCGGAGGCGAUCGCAGACGGGAACGCUGCUCAUGUCGACAACUCUGCAUCGUUUCGCCAGGCCGCAACUACCACUAAGCCGGGCCGUCACGUCUAUCGUGGACCUCACCUCGACGGGCGACGUCCACGACCACGACACUGAUGAAAAGUAG